Molecule: non-coding RNA, 6562 nt
Organism: Caretta caretta (loggerhead turtle)
Lineage: Eukaryota; Metazoa; Chordata; Testudines; Cheloniidae
Source: RefSeq, a predicted model, not a curated record
UGGCCUCCACGUUCUUGCGCCAGUCACCCACUUCCACAGGGCGCUCCUGCAGGGAGACGCAGGGGUCAGGGGUCCCGGCAGCACAGAGCCCAGGGAUUCUCGGGACGGCGCAUCUGAGCAGCGCUCGAAGCUGCUCCGUGCCUGAGUGUACUUAAAUCCCAUGGGCCUUCCAAUGUGCCACAUUCCCCCACACCCAGAACAACCGUUCCAGCAGUGACCCCAGGUGCAACCUCGCCCAGGGCAUCUCCCUAGAUCCCAUUGCACUCGCCCUGUGGAGCUGCGGGAUGACCUGCCGUGUUAUUAUACAGACAGACAGACGCGGACAUGUGUCUCCAAUACCCCUACACUAAAUAGCCUCUCCAGACAUCACUCGCAGCGAUAACGGGUCAGAGUCCCAUGCAGACUCCAGUCGCAGGCUCCACAGUGGCCCCAGCUUCAGGAACAGUGCCGUGCACCAGCGAGCGGCUGGCCAUCGGAGCUCCUGACAGAUGGGCACCAGCUGGGAUGCUGCACAUGUUGGCUUCCAGCCACCACGGCAUCCCCACGAAGUGCUGAGCAGCUGGUGAAGGAGAGCAGAGAGGAUGCCGUGCCUCUGAAACCCAAGUCCGGGGCGCCUCUGGCUGGAUGGCCCCAGAGUGGCGCCAUCCAGAGCCAGUGACUACUGCUGGUAAUCUGGCUGAAGGGCUUUUGUUUGAAUGGGCUGGGGGAGCCUUGCAGGUGGCUUCUUUCCCACUAAACUACCCAGGUGUGAAUUUUUCAAUGAUCAGACGGCAGUAGGAGGUGGCAUGAUCUUGGGGAUGGGGCCAUGGAGGCCUGAGAUCUGUUCCUAGCUCUACACACCUGAUGCUUCCCCUCUUUGUGCCACAGUUUCCCAUCCUGCCCUGUGUCCACCUUGUCCAUUUAGGCUGUGAGCUCUUCGGGGCAGGGAUUCUCUUACUGUAUCUGGGCAGCACCUGGCACCAUGGGUCCCUGGUAUUGGUUUUAGGGUUGCCAACUUUCUACUUGCACAAAACCAAACACCUUUGCCCCACCCCCUGCCCCGCCCCUCAUCAGAAGCCCUGUCCAUCCCCACCCCUUCUCUGGGGCCCACCCCCGCUCACUCCACACAUACUCCUCCCUCUGUCGCUCGCUCUCCCCACCCUCAGUCACUCGCUCAUUUUCACCAGGCUGGGGCGGGGUUCCCAGCCAGUGGGAGCUGCAGAGUCAGCACUUGGGGUGGGGGCAGUGUGUGGAGCCCCCUGGCUGCCCCUACGCGUAGGAGCCGGAGUGGGGACAUGCUGCUGCUUCCGGGAGCCGCGCAGAGCCAAGGCAGGCAGGGAGCCUGCCUUAGCCCCGCUGCACCGCUGACUGGACUUUUAAUGGCUCAGUGGUGCUGACCAGAGCCACCAGGGUCCCUUUUUGACCGGGCAUUCUAGUAAAAAACCAGACACCUGGCAACCCUACUUGGUUUGGGGACCUCUAGGUGCGACUGUAAUGCAAAUAACGCUAAUAACCUAGGUGAGGUGCAUAGCAGGUAUCAAAACAAAUAACCAGUUAAUUAAGAAAUAAAGUGCAAGCCAGUGCACAAGGCACCCUCCUACCUCUCUGGUGUUGUGGAUGCAUUUUGCUUCGAUGUCGUACCGCUCCUCAUCCACGAUUUCUACCUUCUCGUGCAGCUCCCUGCACAGAUCCUGCAAGGAGAGGUCACAAAGGCCAAGCUGGGAGCUCUCUUCACUGCUCCAUCUGCUGAGCCUCCCAACCGUGGCCCUGACUUGUCACAGCAGGUACUGUGUUAAGAGCUAGGCUUUUAGCAGGCAGCAUGUUCGUGGUGCCUCCUAGAGGUGGUGUUGAGUCUCCAUCAGUCACCAGCCCUGAAAUCCCAGCGGCCAGCAUGUCCCUGACUGAGUUCCCUGGGAAACCACCUUCCCCCUCUAUCACAGUACAUGCUGGGCAGAUUCACCUUCCAGAGCCUCUGGACCCUGCCCAGAGGGACCCAUUCAUGAGUGACAGGAGGGGCCCUGCCUCAGCCAUAACAAACAGGGUGGAGACCUGAGCUGUUGUCAGACCCCUGCGCAGGUCCCCGGUGGCCCUCCUGACUCCCACUCAAGCCUACCUGCAGCUGGCUGAAGGACAGCCCGCUGGUCCGCAGUUGUGUGAUCCGCUCAGCCAGGUAUCUCUCCUUCUCCGCUUGCUUGUCCACUUGAUCUUGUUCCCAUGCUUCCUUGGCUUUGGCUAGCAUCAAACUCUGGAGCACACAGCAGACAACAACAGCCUGAGUAGAUGCACUGUGCCGUGAGCCCCCCCACCCCACCCCCAGCUAUCACCUCAGGCCAGGGGCAUAAGGCAGGGAGCUACCAAAGAGCAUGGAGAUGUUGAGCUCAGUGCCUUUGUGGUGAAGGACAGAGAAACUGCUUGUUCCUCAAACCCAUAUGGAAGGGUCUUCAGGGCCUUGUGCGUUACCUAGGGAGGUGGUAGAAUCUCCUUCCUUAGAGGUUUUUAAGGUCAGGCUUGACAAAGCCCUGGCUGGGAUGAUUUAACUGGGAAUUGGUCCUGCUUUGAGCAGGGGGUUGGACUAGAUGACCUUCUGGGGUCCCUUCCAACCCUUAUAUUCUAUGAUUCUAUGAUUCUAUGAUUCCUCAAUCCAGUGGGGUGAGGUGCAGGCACUGGUGCAACUAAAAGCAUUUCCCCCUGGUGUGUGAUAAACCGGGCACGGGGGGAGCUGCAGGAAGGAGGGUGAGAGGCUGCAGAAUCUGUGUCUGAUUCAGAGACUUCCUUGCUUUCCUUGGGGCUACGACUCCUGACUGACAUUGGCAUCACCUGGCUCUCUGCAAGCAUGUGUUUUCCCCCGUAAGCAAAAACGUUUCCCCAGAACCAUGUCCUGUCUGUGCGGUGCCCAGUGCACUGUUGGCACUAAACAACUUAUUGGUAUUAAUUAUUAUUAUUAUUAUUAACAAAGGAUGUAGGCAGCAGCACCUGCCACCCAAUUGAACAUUUAAUGCACCUUGCCCCAGGAAAAUCAGUGUGUGUCCCUGCAUAUGUUUAGGCUUGGAAGGAUUCGAUUUUUAUCGGUAAACGUCGAUUUCACCGCACACUCACAGACCGGCGAAAAAUAUUUCCAGCGAUAAUCAUCCAAGUUUUACAGCUAGGCAAAGUCAGACAGAGGCUGCCUGAGAGCUUAUUGGAGCGUGAUUUUAGGUGAUUUACUUUGUAUAUUUUGAUGCGACGUUGACAAAUUUGUGUUUUAACAACAGUUAGAAAACUUGACCUUUUUGAAUCUCAAGUGUCUACUGUCCUUAAAUCAGAGGUUUGUAAGGUCAGGCUUGACAAAGCCCUGGCUGGGGUGAUUUAGUUGGGGAUUGGUCCUGCUUUGAGCAGGGGGUUGGACUAGAUGACCUCCUGAGGUCCCUUCCAACCCUAAUAUUCUAUGAUUCUAUGAUUACUGACAGAGCCCCUCCCUAUUGUCUGACACCCCUCCAAUUGUCCCCCACUGUGAACAUUUAAAUUGAUCAAAACAGAACAAAAAAAUGCUUACAAAAUAAACAUUGAUAUUAUCCAUCAAAAUUAUAGAAAGAUAAAAAUCAAAUUCUGCCAAGCCUAUAUAUGUGACACGCUGGCUAAGCAUGCCCCUCCCACCCAGCGGCUAACAGCCUACUGUUACUGAUGGAAUUACUUCUGCACCACAAGUGGGAUAGAUGCCUGCAUUUUUAGUGCUGAAGAUCCCAGGUUCAAUCCAUGCUGAUAACUUGGGGGACAGGCGGGUGUUACAUUUCCAACUAUGAAGUUCUGAGCGGCUGAGGGAUUGUUCCAGGUUCUAGGGAUCAUGGAGGUGGGAACAGGGCUGGUUUCUUCAGAGACCCAGGAUCUUACCUGUACCCAGUGGAAAGCUGAGUUUUUCUUUCCAUAAACACUGUGGCUAGUCAUGGAAAUGGUCAUACCAUGUUUCCGCAAAGAAGCUUUUAACCUUGAUUUGCUAUCUCAGCUGGGAUAGACCCAAAGGGACUCACCUUCAACAGGAGUUUGCGUGAGGCUGUGAUCUUGGACUUUCUCUACAGAGGGAAAGAACAAAACAAAAGACAUUUUAAAUGCAAAUUCAUAACAGAAAAUGUAUGUUAAUGUCUAGAUCUCUUAAGGGGAAAAAAAAAUCCAGGAACACUUACCUCCCUGCAGUUGUUCAUUCAGACAGAAGAAACAAAGAGGGGGAAAAACAGAACAAACGAUCAAUAGACAGAAUGCAUGAAACAUCUGGAGGACUGAUGCAACUAAAGGUUACAGGUGGACUCUUUGCUACUGCAUGCAAAAUGUGCCACAGACCACAAGUGUUUCUUUGGACCAGAUCCUCAGUAGGUGUAAGUUGAUGGAGCGACACCAGUUUACAUCAGUUGAAGAUCCAACGCUUAGAUAUUAAGGCAGUAAAUAUGCGUUAUUAGUAGAAUUGUAAAGUGAUGGUAAAGGUCUCCAUGUGUAUGAAGACUUUAAUUCAAGGAACACACAGCAAUUAUAGGUAUUAAUUAAGCAAACCUCACGAUGCCCACAUAAGGUAGGUGACAUUAGAGCCAUUUUACAUGUAGGGAAACUGAGGCACGGGGAAGUUAAACAACUUGCUCUAAAUUACACCGCAAAUCGGGGGCAGAGUGGUGGGAUAAGACCAAGGAGUCCUGACUUCUAGUAAGGCACUUCUCUAGUCACUAGAUCACACAUAGUUCAUGUACAAAUACAUGCCAUUAUCUGAGCUGUGUGUACAAGUGCCAGGCUGUGUCAAUGCACUUGCAGUUUCAGUACUCAAGGGUUGGAUCUGGCUCUGUACAGUAUUCAGAUUCCUGGAGGCUAGUGGCUGGGAAGUGUGUGGCAGUGUGAAGAUAGACACUGCUCUGAGCAAUUUGACAGAUCCAGAUACUGCACCAAAGAGCAUGGAAAUUCCUUGUGUGCGGACAUUUUGCAAUUUGAGUACCUGCUCUUCGCUGGGAUGAAGUUUUGAAUAUGGCCUGUGGAAAUUCAAAACUUGCAAAAGUGUGAAAAUGCUGGGGGUUGGAAAUGGGACCAUUUCUGAGUGUAAAGGGAUGGCAUUGCACCAAGACUCGAGCCGCGCUGUGAGCAAAGAUCUCAACAUUUCACAAGUUUCCCCCCCAAAUUGGAACAUUUUCUCAAAAGCCAAAGCAAACAUGAGAUUCUCCUGUUAGUACAGCCUGGAAAUCUGCCUCCCUCCCUCUGGUGGCUGAUCCACAGAAGGCUGUUCUCAUUCGGCAACUGCUUUGAGCUGCUUCGCCCAGUCCUUUAGCUCCAGUGCUAAGGGCGUGAGCUUUCAGUGCUGAAUGGUUUGCGUUCAAACCCUGCUGUUGGUCGAAGUAGAGUCAGGUCUCUCCCACAGCUCUCCUGAGAAGCCGGAAGCUUAGGGGAGUUCAGCAAAAGGCAAAGGGCAGUGCUACUACUUACGGCUCUGGCAUUGUGCUGUCCGAUUCUGCACCUAGAAUCACCCCAAAGCAAAAUGAUCAAUAGCAAGGAAUCCAAACGUGAGCUCGCAUCCACCCACUCCCACACAGCAGGGUAUAAGUCACACUCUGUGCUUACCAAAGAGCCAGGGCUGAGGUGCUUUGACUGAGCUGCAGCUCAUGACUGGGAUAGAAGGGGGCUGCAGGCUGGGACUACGGCAUAUAUGUGAGGAGCCCAGGGCUGGGAUAGCAGAGGGCUGCAGGUCAGGACUGAGGCACAUGGACAGAGCUGGGUGUAUGGAAAGCCCAGGGCUAGCAGGGGGCUGUGGGUAGAGACUGAGGGGCACUGGCAGAGCUGGGGCAGGGGGGACCCCAGGGCUGGGACAGCAGGGGGCUGCAGAUCAGGACUGAGGUGCAUGUACAGAGCUGUGUGUGGGGAGUCCAGGGCUAGCAGGGGGCUGUGGAUCGGGAUUGUAUUGUACUGGCAGUUAUGCAAAGGUCCCUAAGCUGAAGUUACGUGCCUCCUGACAGCCCACCUUGUUUUCAUGGGCACCACCUGUGUUUCCAGCUGAGCUGCCACCUCCAAUGCCCCAGCCGGUCUCAGGGUCUGUAUUCGAGUUCUACACUCCAGGAACCCAACCAGGACUCCAGUGCUCAGCAAACCCCACUGGAGAGACCCUCGCCUGCAUCUCAGCAGGCCACAAACUUUUCAUUGGACGAGACCCUCACUGUGAACAGCACCAGAACUAGCCCUGCUCUAAACAGGACCCUCGUGCUUCCCAUGCGGGGCUGCACUGCUCCCCGCUGCCCUUCACCCCUCCUCACUGCCUGCGUGGAGAGAGCACCUUUGCCUGCCUUUCAACCUGACUGCAUGAUGGCUUUGUGUAGUCUCUUCCAGCGCAGCCACAUCAAAAGCCUUGCUCCGCUCGGGGGAGAUGGCUUCAAUCCUGCUUCAUACCGCUGGGGGAACUUUGCUACACUGAAGCUUUGAACCAAGGACCCAUACCAGCUGUGGAUGUUCUCCAGAGACUUGAUUUGAACCUGCAGCCUAUUCCAUCCCUGCUACAAGCCUGAACCAAGAACUUUGCCAUUACUGUGUGUCAUUGAUUCCAUUUAACCAGUUCUCGCUCUCAUCUCUAUCUUUUUCCUGUUAUGAA